AUAUAAAAAGUGUAAAUUUUUUGUGUUGUGCAUUAACAAAUAAAGAAGCCAACUAUUUCCAUCUGAUCAUGUGGCCUGAAACUGCUGUUUCCCAAAAUGUCGUCUAUUGCUGUGCUUUCAUCACAUCACAUGUAGAAAUACUUCACAACAGUAAAAGUGAUCAUGUUGGUGUAACCCUAAGCAUGGUGAAGUCUGAGUUUCUUCAUUGCAGUCCAAUGUGCUGUGCAGUGUGAUUUGUUGCAGCCAGCUGGUGAAAGGUGUUCCUCUUGCAGACUUGCUACCUGUACCGCUUGUAGCUUUCGUCACAUACAGAAACACUUAUAAACAAUCUAAAGUAAUUAAGUUGAUCAACUUUUUUACAGAUUAGCAGCUUCUUAAAAGGUCUGGGCCUCUUUGUUGCAGUCCGAUGUGUACAUGAAUUCUGUGCAACCAGCUAGUGAACAAAGUGGUGAGCUGUUCCAUGCAGACUGCAGUGUUCUGGUGUCGUUCGUUCAUUGAACUAUAGACCGUUCAGUCGUUCCUUUAUCGUAAGAAAUCUGACACGGUGUGUAAAAUUGUUUCCACUAGGUGGCAAAGAAGGUCAGCAUUUCGUUCUUGAUGUCGAAGACUAGUGACAUCUUAUUUUGUGCUUCUAAAUAAGUGCUUAAAAAUUGUGUAAGAUUUCCAUGGUCAGUUUGUUGUUUGAGCUGUUUAUGGUGUUGCUGUUUGGGGUGCAGUGGUUUUGCUGUCAUUUUCCAGUUGAAAAAUGCACUGAAAUAGAGCUUGUGCAGACUUGCAGUUCAACAUCACACUUAAAUGUGUCAUUUUUCUAUGUUGGUGUCCGUGCAGUGUUGAUUAGUUGGGUAAAAUAGUCAAAUGUUGCCUGAUGGCUGUCGGGCUUAUUUUGUCGAUAUGUCGUCUCUUGCUACCUGUACCGCGGCGUUGAGUUUAAUCGUUUGCUGCCGUUCCAUAGACUUGACCCAUUGGUAAAACUGAGGAGAGGUUGCUGGAAUUCAAGACUCGUCAACAAAUUAUGUAGAUGUAGACAAAUUACAAGUGCAUAUCUGGGCUCCCUUCUUUUCUGUGGCCCCGUUUCCCUAUCUAACCACUAACCAACGCCCGCCGGUGGUCACUCACCCGCUGUGAAACCAG
Molecule: long non-coding RNA, 1131 nt
Filed under: Daphnia pulicaria
Lineage: Eukaryota; Metazoa; Arthropoda; Branchiopoda; Diplostraca; Daphniidae
Description: uncharacterized LOC124316631
Source: RNAcentral